UGGGGAAUAUUGCGCAAUGGGCGAAAGCCUGACGCAGCGACGCCGCGUGAGGGAUGAAGGUUUUCGGAUCGUAAACCUCUGUCAGAAUGGAAGAAACCGCACUGUGCUAAUCAGCAGUGCCUUGACGGUACCUUCAAAGGCAGCACCGGCUAACUCCGUGCCAGCAGCCGCGGUAAUACGGAGGGUGCAAGCGUUAAUCGGAAUUACUGGGCGUAAAGCGCACGUAGGCUGCUUUGUAAGUCAGGGGUGAAAUCCCACGGCUCAACCGUGGAACUGCCUUUGAUACUGCUUAGCUUGAAUCCGGGAGAGGGUGGCGGAAUUCCAGGUGUAGGAGUGAAAUCCGUAGAUAUCUGGAGGAACAUCAGUGGCGAAGGCGGCCACCUGGACCGGUAUUGACGCUGAGGUGCGAAAGCGUGGGGAGCAAACAGG
Molecule: ribosomal RNA, 429 nt
Filed under: Fusobacteriota bacterium
Lineage: Bacteria; Fusobacteriati; Fusobacteriota
Description: Fusobacteria bacterium partial 16S ribosomal RNA
Rfam family: Bacterial small subunit ribosomal RNA
Source: RNAcentral